UGCAGUCGAACGCUGAAGCUCCAGCUUGCUGGGGUGGAUGAGUGGCGAACGGGUGAGUAAUACGUGAGUAACCUGCCCUUGACUCUGGGAUAAGCCUGGGAAACCGGGUCUAAUACUGGAUACGACGUCCUACCGCAUGGUGGGGGGUGGAAAGGGUUUUACUGGUUUUGGAUGGGCUCACGGCCUAUCAGCUUGUUGGUGGGGUAAUGGCCUACCAAGGCGACGACGGGUAGCCGGCCUGAGAGGGUGACCGGCCACACUGGGACUGAGACACGGCCCAGACUCCUACGGGAGGCAGCAGUGGGGAAUAUUGCACAAUGGGCGCAAGCCUGAUGCAGCGACGCCGCGUGAGGGAUGACGGCCUUCGGGUUGUAAACCUCUUUCAGCAGGGAAGAAGCCACAAGUGACGGUACCUGCAGAAGAAGCGCCGGCUAACUACGUGCCAGCAGCCGCGGUAAUACGUAGGGCGCAAGCGUUGUCCGGAAUUAUUGGGCGUAAAGAGCUCGUAGGCGGUUUGUCGCGUCUGCUGUGAAAGCCCGGGGCUCAACCCCGGGUCUGCAGUGGGUACGGGCAGACUAGAGUGCAGUAGGGGAGACUGGAAUUCCUGGUGUAGCGGUGAAAUGCGCAGAUAUCAGGAGGAACACCGAUGGCGAAGGCAGGUCUCUGGGCUGUUACUGACGCUGAGGAGCGAAAGCAUGGGGAGCGAACAGGAUUAGAUACCCUGGUAGUCCAUGCCGUAAACGUUGGGCACUAGGUGUGGGGGACAUUCCACGUUCUCCGCGCCGUAGCUAACGCAUUAAGUGCCCCGCCUGGGGAGUACGGCCGCAAGGCUAAAACUCAAAGGAAUUGACGGGGGCCCGCACAAGCGGCGGAGCAUGCGGAUUAAUUCGA
This 891-nucleotide ribosomal RNA is filed under the name Kocuria flava. Its description in RNAcentral is "bacterial SSU rRNA". It matches the Rfam family "Bacterial small subunit ribosomal RNA", at positions 56 to 954 of the family's 1533-position model. The record is from RNAcentral. Lineage: Bacteria; Bacillati; Actinomycetota; Actinomycetes; Micrococcales; Micrococcaceae.